Molecule: ribosomal RNA, 516 nt
Filed under: uncultured Pseudomonadota bacterium
Lineage: Bacteria; Pseudomonadati; Pseudomonadota
Description: bacterial SSU rRNA
Rfam family: Bacterial small subunit ribosomal RNA
Source: RNAcentral
AGAGUUUGAUCAUGGCUCAGAUUGAACGCUGGCGGCAUGCCUUACACAUGCAAGUCGAACGGCAGCGCGGGGCAACCUGGCGGCGAGUGGCGAACGGGUGAGUAAUAUAUCGGAACGUACCCUGGAGUGGGGGAUAACGUAGCGAAAGUUACGCUAAUACCGCAUACGAUCUAAGGAUGAAAGUGGGGGAUCGCAAGACCUCAUGCUCCUGGAGCGGCCGAUAUCUGAUUAGCUAGUUGGUGGGGUAAAGGCCUACCAAGGCAUCGAUCAGUAGCUGGUCUGAGAGGACGACCAGCCACACUGGAACUGAGACACGGUCCAGACUCCUACGGGAGGCAGCAGUGGGGAAUUUUGGACAAUGGGCGAAAGCCUGAUCCAGCAAUGCCGCGUGAGUGAAGAAGGCCUUCGGGUUGUAAAGCUCUUUUGUCAGGGAAGAAACGGUGAGGGCUAAUAUCUCUUGCUAAUGACGGUACCUGAAGAAUAGCACCGGCUAACUACGUGCCAGCAGCCGCGGUA